This is a transfer RNA of Oryza sativa Japonica Group (Japanese rice), 73 nucleotides long. It matches the Rfam family "tRNA". From Rfam's summary of the family: Transfer RNA (tRNA) molecules are approximately 80 nucleotides in length. Their secondary structure includes four short double-helical elements and three loops (D, anti-codon, and T loops). Further hydrogen bonds mediate the characteristic L-shaped molecular structure. tRNAs have two regions of fundamental functional importance: the anti-codon, which is responsible for specific mRNA codon recognition, and the 3' end, to which the tRNAs corresponding amino acid is attached (by aminoacyl-tRNA synthetases). tRNAs cope with the degeneracy of the genetic code in two manners: having more than one tRNA (with a specific anti-codon) for a particular amino acid; and 'wobble' base-pairing, i.e. permitting non-standard base-pairing at the 3rd anti-codon position. The record is from Rfam. NCBI's taxonomy places the organism in Eukaryota, Viridiplantae, Streptophyta, Magnoliopsida, Poales, Poaceae.
CGGGGUGUAGCUCAUAUGGUAGAGCGCUCGCUUCGCAUGCGAGGUGCACGGGGUUCGAUUCCCGGCACCUCCA